RNAcentral lists this unclassified non-coding RNA (456 nucleotides) under Hevea brasiliensis (rubber tree). Lineage: Eukaryota; Viridiplantae; Streptophyta; Magnoliopsida; Malpighiales; Euphorbiaceae. The record is from RNAcentral.
UUGGGGAACAACCUGUUGCCUUCCUGGCAUUUGUCUCUGAGAAUUGGCAAAAAUAUUGGAGGGCACCCCUUGUCCCAUUGAAUUCCCUGCUGUGCUCUGUGGAACUCCAGAAAUAUUCUGAAUGUUAGGAUUCUGACCAACAACACUGGGGAUAGAAUUCUGUGUUAAACCAGAAACGGGGGGUAGUGCAGAUGUUAAACUGGCAGAACUUUGAAACCCAGUAGAUGUCAUAUUAUUCUGAAUGGUCUGGGAUAACAAUUGCUGACGCGUUUGAGACUGGUUCGCUUGCAUUGGGAUAGGAAGUGACUGCCCUUGAUUUUGAACUUGGGGCUGCAUACUAUGAGAUGCUCCUGGAUCAGAAGGUCUGUUGUUAUUGCCAGGUGGGUUGGGAGGCAAAGGAUUAGGCCCUGGCUUUUGGGACUUGGACUCUAGUGUAAGCAUCUUCAAAGAUAUUUU